Molecule: ribosomal RNA, 1379 nt
Filed under: uncultured bacterium
Lineage: Bacteria
Description: 16S ribosomal RNA
Rfam family: Bacterial small subunit ribosomal RNA
Source: RNAcentral
GAGCGGCGGACUGGUGAGUAACACGUAGCUAACCUACCCUCUUGACGGGGACAACUGCCCGAAAGGACAGCUAAUACCCGAUGUGGCUACGGGUCGAUGGAUCUGUAGCCAAAGGCGGUCCUGCCGCCGCGAGGGGAUGGGGCUGCGGCCUAUUAGCUCGUUGGCAGGGUAACGGCCUACCAAGGCUAUGAUGGGUAGCUGGUCUGAGAGGAUGGUCAGCCACACUGGGACUGAGAUACGGCCCAGACUCCUACGGGAGGCAGCAGUGGGGAAUCUUUCGCAAUGGGCGCAAGCCUGACGGAGCGACACCGCGUGAGGGAUGAAGGCCUUCGGGUCGUAAACCUCUUUUCCGGGGAAAGAAUAAGGGCGGGAGGAAAUGCCAGCCCGAUGACGGUACCUCGGGAAUAAGCAUCGGCUAACUCUGUGCCAGCAGCCGCGGUAAGACAGAGGAUGCAAGCGUUACCCGGAUUCACUGGGCGUAAAGGGCGUCUAGGCGGCCAGGUAAGUCACCUGUGAAAGCCCUCAGCUCAACUGAGGAUGGUCAGGUGAUACUGCUCGGCUUGGGUGCAGGAGAGGAGGGUGGAACUCAUAGAGUAGCGGUGGAAUGCGUAGAUACUAUGAGGUACCCCGAUGGCGAAGGCAACCCUCUGGCCUGUUACCGACGCUGAAGCGCGAAAGCGUGGGGAGCAAAGGGGAUUAGAUACCCCCGUAGUCCACGCCCUAAACAAUGUUCACUGGGUGUCGGUCGCUAUAUACAGAUCGGUGCCGAAGCUAACGCGUUAAGUGAACCGCCUGGGGAGUACGGCCGCAAGGCUAAAACUCAAGAGAAUUGACGGGACCCCACACAAGCGGUGGAGCACGUGGUUUAAUUCGACGAUAAACGAAGAACCUCACCUGGGCUUGACAUGCUAGUGGUAGGAACCGGAAACGGGGACGACCUUUGCCUUCGGGCAGAGGAGCUAGCACAGGUGAUGCAUGGCUGUCGUCAGCUCGUGUCGUGGGACGUUGGGUUAAGUCCCGAAACGAGCGCAACCCCUGUCAUCAGUUGCCAGCGGGUAAUGCCGGGGACUCUGAUGAGACUGCCGAUGAAUAGUCGGAGGAAGGAGGGGAUGAUGUCAAGUCAUCAUGUCCCUUAUGCCCAGGGCGACACACAUGCUACAAUGGAGGGUACAAAGGGUCGCAAUCCCGCAAGGAGGAGCUAAUCCCAAAAAGCCUUCCUCAGUUCGGAUUGAGGUCUGCAACUCGACCUCAUGAAGCCGGAAUCGCUAGUAAUCGCAGGUCAGCCAUACUGCGGUGAAUACGUACUCGGGGUUUGUACACACCGCCCGUCACACCAACCGAGUGGGGGGUACCUGAAGUUGUCGGACUAACCCGUAAGG